AGUCUGGAGUGUGUGACUCGCACCCUGCGAGGGCCCGGGCAAGGCUGUGUGUGCUGGGGGGGCAGACUGAGAUCUGGGUGACAGGUUUGUUGGGGCGUACUGCUGUGCUGCUGAACACACUGGGCUACCAAGACAACGGACACCUCGUAAAUCCCAAAGAUCAGCUAAGGUCAUGCGGCCAAAUCGGACACCUCCCAGCAGCGUGGUAACAGGACCCAGCAUGAAAGGGUUACAGUCGCGCCAACUGGGAAGGCCUGGCCCAGGCACAGCCGCCCUGCCCCGGCUGCGGGUAGCUGGCUGGCCAGGAGAGGAAGCAGAACAGGCUGAGCUGCCGCCGUACUUUGCAGUUCCAGUGCCAGGGUGAGGCUCCCCACUGACCUUUUGGCCCCGGUGCCAGGCAGACUGGCCAAGGAUCAUGUGACAUGGGGCCUUCCAGGCCCAGCCAGGGGACGUCUGCUCUCCAGAGGCAGGAGGCGCCUGUGGCCCGCAAGUUGGGGGCACCGCGGUCAGGUAGCUCAGCUGACAAGGAAUGGUUGUGUCCUGAGCAAGUGUGAAUUCUGGAGUGUGUGUAUCGCACCAGCAGGGACUGCAGUGCUGGGAAUCCGCUCCCACUGCCUCAGUGACGGUGGGGAAGGGGAGCUGUGCACUGCACUGCUGGGCUGCCUCAUUGCCAGCCUGGAGGCAGAUCAUUCACCUGCCCUGCCCCUCCUAGGGGUCCCCCCAUGUGACAUCUCACGCAGGCGGCAUGCCCCCACCCGGCAGGGCCUGGACCAACAGACACAAGCCAACAACCAUCCCUGGCCCCCAGGAGCAGCUCCCAAUCCGGACACUUGCAAAUAUCCACACACACAUGAACAGAGCUGCUCUCAAUCUCACACACUGUACAUACACAUACACAGCUGCUCACAAUCACACACUGUACAUGCACACACUCAGCUGCUCACAACCACACACUACAUGCACACACUCAGCUGCUCACAAACUCACACACACAGAGCUGCUCACAACCACACACUACAUGCGCACACGCAUACACACAGAGCUGCUCACAAUCACACACACAGCUGCUCACAACCACACACCUUGGCAUACACACACAGGUGCUCACAAUCUCACACACACACAC
This 1126-nucleotide long non-coding RNA is filed under the name Chrysemys picta bellii (western painted turtle). RNAcentral describes it as "lncRNA (ENSCPBG00000000248.1)". The record is from RNAcentral. Lineage: Eukaryota; Metazoa; Chordata; Testudines; Emydidae.